RNAcentral lists this ribosomal RNA (2670 nucleotides) under Triticum aestivum (bread wheat). RNAcentral describes it as "partial small subunit ribosomal RNA". Lineage: Eukaryota; Viridiplantae; Streptophyta; Magnoliopsida; Poales; Poaceae. The record is from RNAcentral.
AUGGCGGCCGCCCGAGGCCGAGGCGUCCUUCUCGCCGUCCUCCUCUUGACGACGGUGGCCUUCGCGUUCGUCGGCGCGGACAUAUACAAGCCAACGGACUCCAUUCUGGUUAACUGCGGGUCGGACAAGGACGGGCAGGACGAGGACGGCAGGAAGUGGACCACCGACAAGGACAGCAAGUGGCUCCCCGACGGCGGCAAGUCCUCCAUCAUGGGCACCGCCGACGUGUCGGACCCGUCCCUCCCCUCCCCCGUGCCCUACAUGACGGCGCGGGUCUUCCCUAAGGAGACCGCCUACACCUUCCCCGUGUCCGACGCCGACCGCCACUGGGUGCGCCUCCACUUCUACCCGGCGGCUUACCACGACAUCCCCGCCGACCACUUCUUCUUCUCCAUCAGCACCUCCACCGGCAUCACGCUGCUGCGCAACUUCAGCGUCUACAUCACCGCCAAGGCCCUCACCCAGGCCUACAUCGUCCGGGAGUUCUCCCUCCCUCCCUCCACCGCCGGCUCGCUCUCCCUCAAAUUCACGCCCACUGCCAUGAACAAUGCCUCCUACGCCUUCGUCAAUGGCAUCGAGAUCAUCUCCAUGCCCAACUUCUUCGGCGACCCGGCCACGCUGGUCGGCCUCGACGACCAGUCCCUCGACGCCAGCGCCGGCAACCUGCAGACCAUGUACCGGCUUAGCGUCGGCGGCUCCUACAUCCCGCCCACCAACGACUCCGGGCUGACCCGCGAGUGGUUCUCCGACACGCCCUACGUCUACGGCGCCGGCACGGGCGUCACCUUCGAGGCCAACGACACGAUCCCGAUCAAGUACCCGGCCCCCGCCGACGAGUACGCCGCGCCCGUCAGCAUCUAUGACACGUUCCGCCACAUGGGCCGCGACGCCAACCUGAACAAGAACAACAACCUCACCUGGGUGUUCGAGGUGGACGGCAACUUCACCUACCUCCUCCGCCUCCACUUCUGCUCGCUCAUGGAAGACAAGAUCAACCAGGUCGUCUUCGCCAUCCUCGUCAACAACAAGACGGCCACCACCACCGGCAGCGCCGACAUCAUCGCCUGGGCCAAGGAGAAGAACCCUGCUAAUCCCGGCGCGCCCGGCAAAGGCGUGCCGGUCUUCAAGGACUACGCCGUGUUCAUGCCCGCCGCUCCGGCGGGCAACGACACCAUCCUCUGGCUCACGCUGCGCCCAGACACCGCCAGUAACCCACAGUUCGUCAACGCUUUCCUCAACGGCCUCGAGAUCUUUAAGGUGAGCGACGCCUCCGGCAACCUGGCCGGCCCAAACCCCGACAUUUCUAAGAUGCUGGCGGAGGCCGAGCUGGGGGCCGUGGACGGGCAGUUCAGGGAGAAGCCGAGCAACGUCGGGGCGCUCAUCGGCGGGGCGGUGGGCGGCGCGGCGGCAUUCGGGCUGGUCGCGGCCGUGUGCUUCGUGGCGUACCAGAGCAAGAGGGGGAGGGAGCUGAGCAGCAGCCCAUCGCACUCCUCCUCCAGGUGGCUGCCGGUGUACGGCAGCUCGCAGACGAGCGUGAGCAAGUCGUCGGGCGGGAGGAGCGCGAUGACGCUGAACCCCAACAUCACGGCCAUGUGCCGGCACUUCUCGUUCCAGGAGAUAAAGUCGGCGACCAAGGGGUUCGACGAGUCGCUGGUGAUCGGCGUGGGCGGGUUCGGCAAGGUGUACCGGGGGGUGGUGGACGGGGACACCAAGGUGGCCAUCAAGCGGAGCAACCCGUCGUCGGAGCAGGGGGUGCUGGAGUUCCAGACGGAGAUCGAGAUGCUGUCCAAGCUGCGGCACAAGCACCUGGUGUCCCUCAUCGGGUGCUGCGAGGACAACGGCGAGAUGAUCCUGGUGUACGACUACAUGGCGCACGGCACGCUGCGGGAGCACCUGUACAAGAGCGGCAAGCCGCCGCUGCCGUGGAGGCAGCGGCUGGAGAUCGUGAUCGGCGCCGCCCGGGGGCUCCACUACCUCCACACGGGCGCCAAGUACACCAUCAUCCACCGCGACGUCAAGACCACCAACAUCCUCGUCGACGAGAAGUGGGUGGCCAAGGUGUCCGACUUCGGGCUGUCCAAGACGGGGCCGACGGUGCAGAACCAGACGCACGUGAGCACCAUGGUGAAGGGCAGCUUCGGGUACCUGGACCCGGAGUACUUCCGGCGGCAGAAGCUGACGGAGAAGUCGGACGUCUACUCGUUCGGCGUGGUGCUGUUCGAGGUGCUGUGCGGGCGGCCGGCGCUGAACCCUAGCCUGCCGCGGGAGCAGGUGAGCCUGGCGGACCACGCGCUGAGCUGCCAGCGGAAGGGCACCCUGGAGGAGAUCAUCGACCCGGUGCUGGAGGGGAAGAUCGCGCCCGACUGCCUCAAGAAGUUCGCCGAGACGGCGGAGAAGUGCCUGGCGGACCAGGGCGUGGACCGGCCGUCCAUGGGCGACGUGCUGUGGAACCUCGAGUUCGCGCUGCAGCAGCAGGACACCUUCGAGAACGGCGGGAAGCCGCCCGAGGUGGACGACUACAGCAGCAGCUUCACCAUCACCCCGCCGUCCAUGGAGGAGAGCCUGGCGGCCAACGCGGCGGCGCUGUCGCUCAUCAGCGAGGACAUGGACGAGGAGGACAUCGCCAACAGCGUCAUCUUCUCCCAGAUCGCAAAACCCACCGGACGAUGA